Long non-coding RNA from Solanum verrucosum, 156 nucleotides. RefSeq lists it as uncharacterized. The record is from RefSeq and is a predicted model, not a curated record. NCBI's taxonomy places the organism in Eukaryota, Viridiplantae, Streptophyta, Magnoliopsida, Solanales, Solanaceae. The transcript has 3 exons.
GAGGAUCCAACAGAAGUACAAAACUCCAGUUUGUCAUCGUCCAUGUAUAGCUGUGAGAAUUUACCAAACCAUGAAGUAACUAUAGUUAUGGUUCCAUUUCCAGCUCAAGGUCAUCUUAACCAACUUGUCCAACUUUCAUGUUUAAUCUCCUCCUAU